GCUGUGGCUGUGAUGCGUAUUGAUAAGGGAUUUUCUGAGGGAUGGAGACCUGGUUUUCCUCCUCCUGAUUGAGAGAAACCAAUGGAUCCUUCUGAGCCUGCCC
Oryza brachyantha (malo sina) is the source of this 103-nucleotide non-coding RNA. The record is from Rfam. Lineage: Eukaryota; Viridiplantae; Streptophyta; Magnoliopsida; Poales; Poaceae.